UCGAGAAUCAUUCGCAAUGGGCGAAAGCCUGACGAUGCGACGCUGUGUGAGCGAAGUAGGCCUUCGGGUCGUAAAGCUCUUUCGCCUGGGAACAAGAGAAGCUGACUAAUAAUCAGCUAAUUUGAGCGUAUCAGGUAAAGAAGCACCGGCUAACUCCGUGCCAGCAGCUGCGGUAAUACGGAGGGAGCAAGCGUUAUCCGGAUUUAUUGGGUGUAAAGGGUGCGUAGACGGGAAUGCAAGUUAGCUGUGAAAUCCCUCGGCUUAACUGAGGAACUGCAACUAAAACUAUAUUUCUUGAGUGCUGGAGAGGAAAGUGGAAUUCCUAGUGUAGCGGUGAAAUGCGUAGAUAUUAGGAGGAACACCGGUGGCGAAGGCGACUUUCUGGACAGUAACUGACGUU
This 400-nucleotide ribosomal RNA is filed under the name uncultured bacterium. Its description in RNAcentral is "bacterial SSU rRNA". It matches the Rfam family "Bacterial small subunit ribosomal RNA", at positions 355 to 747 of the family's 1533-position model. The record is from RNAcentral.